CCUACGGGCGGCAGCAGUGAGGAAUAUUGGUCAAUGGUCGCGAGCCUGAACCAGCCAAGUAGCGUGAAGGAUGACUGCCCUGCGGGUUGUAAACUUCUUUUAUAAAGGAAUAAAGUGAGGCACGUGUGCCUUUUUGUAUGUACUUUAUGAAUAAGGAUCGGCUAACUCCGUGCCAGCAGCCGCGGUAAUACGGAGGAUCCGAGCGUUAUCCGGAUUUAUUGGGUUUAAGGGGAGCGUAGAUGGGUUGUUAAGUCAGUUGUGAAAUGUUGCGGCUCAACCGUCAAAUUGCAAUUGAUACUGGCAGGCUUGAGUACAGUUGAGGUAGGCGGAAUUCGUGGUGUAGCGGUGAAAUGCUUAGAUAUCACGAAGAACUCCGAUUGCGAAGGCAGCUUACUAAACUGCCACUGACAUUGAUGCUCGAAAGUGUGGGUAUCAAACAGGAUUAGAUACCCGAGUAGUC
RNAcentral lists this ribosomal RNA (460 nucleotides) under uncultured bacterium. Its description in RNAcentral is "partial 16S ribosomal RNA". It matches the Rfam family "Bacterial small subunit ribosomal RNA", at positions 338 to 795 of the family's 1533-position model. The record is from RNAcentral.